Molecule: RNA transcript, 1650 nt
Organism: Galendromus occidentalis (western predatory mite)
Lineage: Eukaryota; Metazoa; Arthropoda; Arachnida; Mesostigmata; Phytoseiidae
Exons: 3
Source: RefSeq, a predicted model, not a curated record
GUAGCGGGGAGUCCAAACAACGUCGGCACUAGUGAAUGGAGUUCUCGGAGUUUCUCGUUCUCGUGAGUCAAGUUUGACGAAGGUUUCCGGAGAACCUGUUGGAAUGCUGUGACAUCUCCACAUCAGCUCUUCCAGGAUGUCAUCAGCUGCCACGGCGAGGCCAAUCAGUCGCGUUUCCCUGAGACGAUCGUCGCUCCGGUAUGACUUACGACGGCGCGUUCUUGUGUCGAACCUGAGUCGAGCUGUCAGCCCUCUGACGGAAAUCAAAUCUGUUCUGCCCUCGAAGUCAUCUGUCACUGCCCCUUUAGAUCUCCUCAAAGAUAUUCCAACGGUCGGUAGACCCAAACAGCAAUGUAUACCGUCUCAGAGCACGUCAUCAACACCGCAGCAAACCCCAGAGAAGAAGAUUUUCCGCGUAGAUCCAGCAAUACUGUCGCGGAAUCCAAUCGUUCACACACCUCAGAAAGCUCCCGCGAAACGGAGGCUCAGCGAGCCGAACAGGCCAACGAUGUCUCUCCAUCUCCUGCGGGAAGAUUAUAGACCGCCGACGAAGAAGGACUGUCCCAGGGAUUCGGUGAUUUUCAACCCGAGUGCAGUAACGGAGGUCCGACCUGGAACAUCUGGUGAAGAAUUCCAAUACGAUAGCCCACCGGCGAGGCCAGUGCCAUUGCCACGAAAAUCUAAGAUGGCGAUUUUACCCAAUUCACGCCCUUCGACGCGACCUCAGUCUUCGACUAGCGCCAACUCGGAUGAAUCAGAAGAUCCGAUAUACGCAAAAAUUGAAAAUUGUCGAACGGGUAGCAGAGAGGAUUUGCCAAAGCUCGGCUAUACUGGCAAUAUGACACUGCGAUCCAAACCGCUGAACGAUUCUCUCCAUGUUCGUUUUUUGGAUGAAUGCGCUGAUCGCAGGAGACGAAACAGCCUGCCGACGAAUUCUGGAAUCCUUCGUUUGAGACCGCGUUUCUCCUCGACCUCUGGAGAGUGCAGAGCGAAGAAAAGCCUCUUGUUCUCAGACAGCGUAGAUAAUACUAAGACGCCGGCGGGACUCACUGUGAAGAACAUACACGCGGAGAAAGAAGUGACCUCCCUGGCCGAUAUGAUAAGCGGAGCCGUAACUCCCCCCGCGAGGCGGCUUCUCCGUCGUCCCUCCCUCGCAUCCUCAAUCAGGGCGGGAAUUGUCCGAAAAACUGGCUCGUCGUCGAGAGUAAGAAACUGAAGAAGGACGAGGUCGAUAAAUCCUACGGAUUCGCGUGUAGAAUGCGUCCGACGCUCAGAGUUCUCAACAACGGGACGCCCCCGCAGCUGUUGCCAAACAAGGAAUCCCGGAGAGAUCCCGCCUCCGGUGAAACUCCGCAGAAAGUCACAACGAGUGAAGCAGUCGCGGCGCCGCCUCGGCCACCUCCAAGGAUCAGUCCACUGAGGAGUCCGAACCCGACCACUCAACAGAAGACAACCCCAUGUAAAGAAAUCGCGGUCCAAACUUCGUUCGUCGUCCACGGAGCUGUUGAUUGUCCCCAAUCGAAAGGUUCGGCGAAGAAGCGACGAAGAUCCAUGGAGAUCAUUGCUGAAGUCGGUGCCAAGGUCAGACGCCGGAGCAGCAUCCUGAAAGACAAGCUGUACCGUUCCCUCGAUAUCACGCCGAGCAAAUGA